UAACAGAAAUUAACUACUAAAAUCUGAAUUCUAGGAAUGGGGGAAAAAAGACUUUAUGUCAUUAUAGAAAAGUCACCUACUUAUAAUUUUAGAUACAUAGCAACUUUAGAGUAAUAAAAUUUAUACAAUGUUCCUACACUAUCAGAGCUCCCAAGUGUUUCAAAAUACUCUAGUUCUUUUCAACUCUGAAAAUCACUAAAGUGGCAAUAAAUCUUGUGAAUGUUUUUUACUCUACAACACAUAAACUUAAAGCAUUUGCCUCCAAUCCUCAAUUCAUAUUAGAAAACUAUGAAAUUACUAAUCCCAAUUAUAGAUAUCAGGUUUGAGAAUCUUAUAUCAAACAAGGAUUUUCCAAGUGUUAUAAUCUAAUAGUAAGUGCUAAUUAUCAUUGUAUAUGAAAACUAGCAAUAAGUUAUUUAAAGUAGGCAAAUACUUGCUACCUUGUAAUUGGUUAACUGAACAAUUCUUUAUUCUGUUUUUUCAUACUGUAUUCACUAAAUUAAGUAGCAACUCAUUUUUAAAUAAAAAAAUUUGUCAAACAAUUCAAUAACAAUCUCUCAUUGAAAGAAACUGUUUUCAUCAGGUGGUCUUCUAUAAUUAAAAAUUAAAUGCUGGACUCUUAAGAAAAAAAACAGUAAUACACCACUUUUGUGUAAAUAAAUGAAAUUCACCCAGUCUAGUUUACUGAACUAUCUUAUAUCUUGGGGAAAAGAGCACCAUGCAAUAGCUUGAAUUCACUGAGAUUACAUGAGAAAUUCAAUAGUGAUAUAUUUCUGAUAAUAAUUGACAUAAUGUCAAAUCUUAGCAAAGGAACAGUUUCCUUCUGCCUUACUUUGUACUCUUUAAUAGAAUUAAAGAAAUGUCUCAAUUUGACAAUAUGAAGCAUAAACAAGUAGGACUAAUAUUUUGAAACUCUUAAGAGAUAUCAGGAUUUCAUACAGACAUCAAAAAAUUUUUUGUUAGAUAAGUAUAUCUAGCACAGAGUAUCUUCUAACAUACUCCUUAAAUUUUUUAAACUA
Molecule: long non-coding RNA, 1019 nt
Filed under: Bos taurus (domestic cattle)
Lineage: Eukaryota; Metazoa; Chordata; Mammalia; Artiodactyla; Bovidae
Description: long non-coding RNA NONBTAT019590
Source: RNAcentral